Molecule: ribosomal RNA, 491 nt
Filed under: uncultured bacterium
Lineage: Bacteria
Description: bacterial SSU rRNA
Rfam family: Bacterial small subunit ribosomal RNA
Source: RNAcentral
UGAGGAAUAAUUGCCCAAUGGGGGAAACCCUGAGGCAGCGACGCCGCGUGGGUGAUGAAGGCCUUCGGGUCGUAAAACCCUUUUCUGUGUGACGAGCAAGGACGGUAGCACAGGAAUAAGUCUCGGCUAACUACGUGCCAGCAGCCGCGGUAAAACGUAGGAGGCAAGCGUUAUCCGGAGUUACUGGGCGUAAAGCGCAUGUAGGCGGUUUUUCAAGUGGCGUGUGAAAGCUCCCGGCUAAACUGGGAGAGGACACGUCAGACUGAGAGGCUAGAGGACGUUAGAGGGGCGCAGAAUUCGGGGUGUAGCGGUGAAAUGUGUAGAGAUCCCGAGGAAUACCAGUGGUGAAGACGGCGCCCUGGGACGUUACUGACGCUGAGAUGCGAAAGCGUGGGGAGCGAACGGGAUUAGAGACCCCGGUAGUCCACGCCGUAAACGAUGCGAACUAGGUGCCCACUUCCUUCGGGAAGGGGGUGCCGAAGCCAACGCGC